UGGAAAUCGCAGCAACUUGUGCCUUGCCAUGAAAAAGUGGGGAAUGACACAUGAACCAGCAUAUUUAUACACAUCCCACUCAAAUCACACACUGACACAGCAUCUUUCUUUGAUCGACUAUCAUACAUAAACAAAAGCAGCAUAAGUUCUUCUAAAUGAUAUAAUGCGUCUGCUUUCAGAAAUGGCAGAAAAAGCAGAUAGCAGCUACGCCACAAGUCUUGAAGAUUCACCAACUGUAAAUGCACCAAUGGGUUGUCCUUCAAGAAAGGUGUGUGAUAAAUUUCUGGGUUUUUUCAGUUCUUGGAGAAGGAACACACCUCCUACUGGUAGAAGAAUUUUCCAUAGGGAUGUCGAACAAGAUGACUUCCAGUAUGCAAGUACUCAUUGUCUCUCAUCAUACUACAGUGUUUUCGUGGUUCGUCUAGCUAUCAUGGUCAUGCUAGCUAUUUUGAUUGGGCUGCUAACCAUUCUAACAUGGCAUUUCACAAGGAGUUAUACAAAAAGGUCACUAGACACCUUAGCUUCUGGCCUUCGUUAUGAACUUCUACAACGCCCCAUAUUAAGAAUGUGGAACAUUUUGAAUUCUACUUCUGAGAUAACUACAGCCCAGGUUAAGCUGUCAGAGUAUGUAAUCAGACGGUAUAGCAAGCCAGCUACUCAAGCUGAGCAAGUUGAGCUCUAUGAAGUAAUGAGGGAUGUGACUUGGGCACUGUUUGCGAGUCGCAAAGCUCUCAAUGCCAUAACUAUAACUUACAGAAAUGGCUUUGUUCAGGCUUUCCACAGAGAUUAUCGCAGUAACAGUACAUUCUAUAUCUAUUCUAAUCUCGUAAAUUAUUCAAUCAGUGGCAAUGAGCCUUAUGAUGUCAAUAAGUUGUCCUCACAUCAAAAGUGGAAUGAACAAUCCAUUCAUGGUAACCUUUCAGCAAUUUGGUACCGUGAACCACUUGAUCCUCUAACAGGUGAAAAGAAAGGAAAAGCAAGCCAAAUUCCACCAGAUGAUCUAAUCAAUAUUGCAGGCUUUUCACAAGUACCAGAUGGGGUUGCUUCCUGGCAUGUGGCAGUAAGCAAGUAUACUGAUUCACCAUUGCUUUCAGCAGCAUUGCCUGUAAGGGAUGCUUCCAACAAAAGCAUAGUGGCCGUUGUAGGAGUUACUACUGCGCUCUCCAGCGUAGGCCAGCUGAUGAGAGAACUUGUUGAAGUCCAUGGUGGACACAUCUAUCUGACCUCUCAAGAGGGUUAUUUACUGGCUACUUCCACAAAUGCUCCUCUCUUAAGAAAUUCAACAACAGGGCUCAAGCUUAUGAUGGCUGUUGAUUCUGAGGAUCAAAUAAUACAAAUGGGAGCUCAGUGGUUAGAGAGAGUCUAUGGAAACAAGUUUCCUCCAGGGCACAUUGUUCAUGUAGAGAAUGCGAAGCUUGGCCACCAACAAUAUUACAUUGAUUCAUUUUUUCUAAAUCUAAAGAGACUGCCUAUAGUGGGGGUUAUCAUCAUUCCUAGAAGAUAUAUAAUGGGGAAGGUAGAUGAGAGAGCUUUCAAAACAUUGCUUAUAGUGAUUUCUGCAUCCGUAUGCAUACUAGUCAUUGGAUGCGUCUGCAUAUUAAUUCUCACAAAUGGAGUAUCAAAGGAAAUGAAGCUGAGAGCAGAGCUGAUAAGCCAUCUGGAUGCAAGAAGAAGGGCAGAGGCAUCCAAUAAUUACAAAAGCCAGUUUCUAGCAAACAUGAGUCAUGAAUUGAGGACUCCUAUGGCUGCCGUGAUUGGGUUGCUGGAUAUUCUUAUCUCUGAUGAUUGUUUGACAAAUGAACAAUAUGCAACCGUUACUCAGAUUAGAAAAUGCUCCACAGCUCUACUUCGGCUUCUUAACAAUAUAUUAGAUUUGAGCAAGGUUGAAUCUGGAAAGCUAGUGUUGGAAGAUACUGAGUUUGACCUGGGACGAGAACUUGAAGGACUCAUGGAUAUGUUCUCUGUGCAGUGCAUUAACCACAAUGUGGAGGCUGUUUUAGAUCUUUCUGAUGAUAUGCCAAAAUUUGUUCGAGGAGACUCAGCCAGAGUUGUGCAAAUAUUUGCAAAUCUCAUUAGCAAUUCUAUCAAGUUUACAACAUCGGGUCACAUUGUUCUCCGUGGUUGGUGUGAAAUUGCUUUCAAUGAGACCACAAAGUUUCCCCUUGAUCAGAAGAAAGCACGGUGUGCACUUAAGACAAAAUUGAGGCAGCAGGGGAACCACAUGAAGAAGACCUCUAAGAAAGAAAAUAAAGUGAUUCUUUGGUUUGAAGUUGAUGACACAGGCUGUGGAAUUGACCCAAGCAAAUGGGAAUCAGUAUUUGAAAGCUUUGAGCAGGCAGAUCCCUCAACAACUAGAUUGCAUGGUGGCACUGGUCUUGGACUCUGUAUUGUUCGAACCUUGGUUCACAAGAUGGGUGGAGAAAUAAAAGUUGUAAAGAAGAAUGGACCGGGAACUCUAAUGCGGCUUUACUUGCUUCUUAGUAAAACUGUAGAUGGUGUGGAACAGCAUUGCCAAAUUGAUUUAGUGAGUCAUAAUGUUGUGGUUCUGCUGGCACUAUAUGGUUCCAUGGGCAGAGCUAUUAUGUCCCAGUGGUUGCGUAAAAUUGGACUGCCCUCUUUAGGAGUAUCUGAGUGGAAUGAGCUGACACAAGUUCUUCGGGAGCUCUUUUAUAGAAGAAAACACAAUAAUGGCUUUGAGGCACAGUGUUCUCUGAAUGAACCAUUAAAAGCCGAAGUUCUUGAUAUACAAGACGUUCGGGACCCUGUAUUUGUCAUAGUUGUAGAUAUAGGGUUGCUUGACUUGAGCACAG
RNAcentral lists this unclassified non-coding RNA (2810 nucleotides) under Hevea brasiliensis (rubber tree). Lineage: Eukaryota; Viridiplantae; Streptophyta; Magnoliopsida; Malpighiales; Euphorbiaceae. The record is from RNAcentral.